UCCGAUGAGAAAUCAAUGGUGAUUUGUCGAGAGAUGCUUGAUAGAAUCCAAAAGCAAUCGAACAGUCUCGUGGCGAUUGAUUGGAUUUUGAAGUUGAUACACAGAAGAGAAGAGAAAGAUUUAUAAAUCAUAUCACUAAGUCUGACAUGCCCUAGAACUCCGAUUCUUCAAAGAAAUCGAAGGAAGAAGAAGACUCCCAUCAAGAAUCUUCCUCUUUGUUUGACACAUUCAAAGCACAUGUGCGACCAAACCCAAUAAGUUUGUGCUGAAUUAGCUAGGCUGGGUC
Molecule: long non-coding RNA, 286 nt
Filed under: Elaeis guineensis (African oil palm)
Lineage: Eukaryota; Viridiplantae; Streptophyta; Magnoliopsida; Arecales; Arecaceae
Description: long non-coding RNA (EGUI_LNC037640)
Source: RNAcentral